UACAGAGGGUGCGAACGUUGUUCGGAAUCACUGGGCUUAAAGGGCGCGUAGGCGGGUGUUCAAGUCUGUGGUGAAAUCCUCCGGCUCAACCGGAGAAUUGCCUCGGAUACUGAAUGUCUCGAGGGUGAUAGGGGUAUGCGGAACUAUCGGUGGAGCGGUGAAAUGCGUUGAUAUCGAUAGGAACUCCGGUGGCGAAGGCGGCAUACUGGAUCACUUCUGACGCUGAGGCGCGAAAGCCAGGGGAGCAAACGGGAUUAGAUACCCCGGUAGUCCUGGCCCUAAACGAUGGGUACUAGCUAGUAGGAUUCACAUGGUCUUACUGGCGAAGCAAAAGUGCUAAGUACCCCGCCUGGGGAGUAUGGUCGCAAGGCUGAA
RNAcentral lists this ribosomal RNA (375 nucleotides) under uncultured bacterium. Its description in RNAcentral is "bacterial SSU rRNA". It matches the Rfam family "Bacterial small subunit ribosomal RNA", at positions 524 to 898 of the family's 1533-position model. The record is from RNAcentral.